UGAGGGGCAUGUGAGGGCUGUCGCUGACUCAAAGUCGUGCACGCCCGAGUGUGUCCUCUCGCAUAAUAAUCCAUCUCACCCUUUGUGCAUCGCCGCGUGGGCACCCUUUGGGAUCAUCUCGGAGGGGGCUCGCGUUUUCACACAAACCCCCCUUUUAAAAGUGUAGAAUGACCUCAUUUAUGCGCUAACACGCAAUCAAUACAACUUUCAACAACGGAUCUCUUGGCUCUCGCAUCGAUGAAGAACGCAGCGAAAUGCGAUACGUAAUGUGAAUUGCAGAAUUCAGUGAAUCAUCGAAUCUUUGAACGCACCUUGCGCCCCUUGGUAUUCCGAGGGGCACACCCGUUUGAGUGUCGUGAAAACCUCAACCUCCUUGGUUUCUUCUGGAGACCAAAGGCAGGCUUGGACUUUGGAGGCCUUUGCUGGAACCUCUCUCUUUUGAAGGCCAGCUCCUCUUAAACGAAUUAGCAGGGUCCUCUUUGCCGAUCCUCGACGUGUGAUAAGAUGUUUCCAUGUCUUGGUUUCUGGCUCUGUCACCUUUGGGACCCGCUUCUAACCGUCUUGACCUUGCGUCGAGACAACGUUCGAGCAUGUCUCCCUUCUCGGGAAGCUCCCUCGACCCCACGAACCCUUGACCUCAAAUCGGGUGAGACUACCCGCUGAACUUAAGCAUAUCAAUAAGCGGAGGAAAAGAAACUAACAAGGAUUCCCCUAGUAACUGCGAGUGAAGCGGGAAAAGCUCAAAUUUAAAAUCUGGCGGUCUUUGGCCGUCCGAGUUGUAAUUUAGAGAAGCGUCUUCCGCGCUGGACCGUGUACAAA
Molecule: ribosomal RNA, 819 nt
Filed under: Lactarius obscuratus
Lineage: Eukaryota; Fungi; Basidiomycota; Agaricomycetes; Russulales; Russulaceae
Description: eukaryotic LSU rRNA
Rfam family: 5.8S ribosomal RNA (bases 203-356)
Source: RNAcentral